UUGCCUCAGGCAACGACCCGAAGGGCGAAGCGCGCAGCGCUGAGUCAUCCUUCCCCCACCACCA
Molecule: small RNA, 64 nt
Filed under: Salmonella enterica subsp. enterica serovar Kentucky
Lineage: Bacteria; Pseudomonadati; Pseudomonadota; Gammaproteobacteria; Enterobacterales; Enterobacteriaceae
Description: partial RtT sRNA
Rfam family: RtT RNA
About the family: This family represents a bacterial cis-regulatory element known as RtT RNA.
Source: RNAcentral